RNA transcript from Mus musculus (house mouse), 3243 nucleotides. It is a transcript of the gene named K(lysine) acetyltransferase 2A, with no coding region annotated. The record is from RefSeq and is marked validated. Lineage: Eukaryota; Metazoa; Chordata; Mammalia; Rodentia; Muridae. The transcript is spliced from 18 exons.
GCGCCGGUUGCCCAUGCGGCCCUAGGGCUGGGAGCGCGGCGCCGCUCCGCUGCGGGGGAGGCCAUGGCGGAACCUUCCCAGGCCCCAAACCCGGUCCCGGCAGCGCAGCCCCGGCCCCUUCACUCCCCAGCCCCUGCCCCAACUUCGACUCCUGCGCCCAGUCCGGCUUCAGCCUCCACUCCGGCUCCGACUCCGGCACCAGCCCCUGCCCCAGCUGCAGCCCCAGCUGGGAGCACAGGGAGUGGGGGCGCCGGGGUAGGAAGUGGGGGGGAUCCGGCUCGACCUGGCCUGAGCCAGCAGCAGCGCGCUAGCCAGAGGAAGGCGCAAGUCCGGGGUCUGCCGCGUGCCAAGAAGCUUGAGAAACUAGGGGUCUUCUCAGCUUGCAAGGCCAAUGAAACCUGCAAGUGUAAUGGCUGGAAAAACCCCAAGCCCCCCACCGCACCCCGCAUGGACCUCCAGCAGCCAGCUGCCAACCUGAGCGAGUUGUGCCGUAGCUGUGAGCACCCUUUGGCGGACCAUGUGUCCCACCUGGAGAAUGUGUCAGAGGACGAGAUUAACCGGCUCUUGGGAAUGGUAGUAGAUGUAGAAAAUCUGUUCAUGUCUGUUCACAAGGAAGAGGACACAGACACCAAACAAGUCUAUUUCUACCUCUUCAAGCUCUUGCGGAAGUGCAUUCUGCAGAUGACACGGCCAGUGGUGGAGGGGUCUCUAGGCAGCCCCCCAUUUGAGAAGCCUAACAUUGAACAGGGUGUACUGAACUUUGUGCAGUACAAAUUUAGCCACCUGGCCCCCCGAGAGCGCCAGACAAUGUUUGAGCUCUCAAAGAUGUUCCUGCUCUGCCUUAACUACUGGAAGCUGGAGACCCCUGCUCAAUUCCGGCAGCGGUCCCAGUCUGAGGAUGUCGCUACCUACAAAGUCAAUUAUACCAGAUGGCUCUGUUACUGCCACGUGCCCCAGAGCUGCGACAGCCUCCCCCGCUACGAGACCACCCACGUGUUUGGCCGAAGCCUUCUACGGUCCAUUUUCACUGUCACCCGCCGGCAGCUACUGGAAAAAUUUCGGGUGGAAAAGGACAAACUGGUGCCUGAGAAGAGGACCCUCAUCCUCACUCACUUCCCCAAGUAAGGCUCAGUCUGGCCUCCUGGGAUUUUACCCCAAAUUCAUGUCCUUGCUGUUGUCCCCUUUUUUCCAGGAAGGCUUCCUGGAUUGGUCCCUCCUCUCCCUCCAUGGGCCUUCUGGGAUCUGGGUGUCUACCUGGCAGAUUUGCCCAUGGCCCAGAAGCUACUUGCUAGUAUGUGCUAGUCUGGGGAUGGCAGAUUCCUGUCCAUGCUUGAGGAAGAGAUCUACGGGGCAAAUUCUCCCAUCUGGGAGUCAGGCUUCACCAUGCCACCUUCGGAGGGGACACAGCUGGUGCCCCGGCCAGCCACGGUCAGUGCAACAGUUGUACCCAGCUUCAGUCCUUCCAUGGGAGGAGGCAGCAACAGCUCCCUGAGCCUAGAUUCCGCAGGGACUGAGCCCAUGCCAGCAGGGGAGAAGAGGAAGCUUCCUGAGAACCUGACCCUGGAGGAUGCCAAGCGGCUCCGCGUGAUGGGGGACAUCCCCAUGGAGCUGGUCAAUGAGGUCAUGCUGACGAUCACUGACCCCGCUGCCAUGCUGGGGCCUGAGACAAGCCUGCUUUCGGCCAACGCAGCUCGAGAUGAGACGGCUCGCCUGGAAGAACGGCGAGGAAUCAUCGAGUUCCACGUCAUUGGCAACUCCCUGACGCCCAAGGCCAACCGGCGCGUGCUGCUCUGGCUCGUGGGGCUGCAGAAUGUCUUUUCCCACCAGCUGCCAAGAAUGCCCAAGGAAUAUAUCGCCCGCCUCGUCUUUGACCCGAAGCACAAGACCCUGGCCCUGAUCAAGGAUGGGCGGGUCAUCGGUGGCAUUUGCUUCCGCAUGUUUCCCACUCAGGGCUUCACGGAAAUCGUCUUCUGUGCCGUCACCUCAAAUGAGCAGGUCAAGGGCUAUGGCACCCACCUGAUGAACCACCUAAAGGAGUACCACAUCAAACACAGCAUCCUUUACUUUCUCACCUAUGCUGACGAGUACGCCAUUGGCUACUUCAAAAAGCAGGGCUUCUCCAAAGACAUCAAGGUGCCCAAGAGCCGCUAUCUGGGCUACAUCAAGGACUAUGAAGGAGCGACGCUGAUGGAGUGUGAGCUGAAUCCCCGAAUCCCCUACACAGAGCUGUCCCACAUCAUCAAGAAACAGAAAGAGAUCAUCAAGAAGUUGAUUGAGCGCAAACAGGCACAGAUCCGCAAGGUCUACCCUGGACUCAGCUGCUUCAAAGAGGGAGUGAGGCAGAUCCCGGUGGAGAGCGUCCCUGGCAUUCGAGAGACAGGCUGGAAGCCACUGGGAAAGGAGAAGGGCAAGGAGCUUAAGGAUCCUGAUCAGCUAUAUACGACCCUCAAAAACCUGCUGGCUCAGAUCAAGUCACACCCCAGUGCCUGGCCCUUCAUGGAACCUGUGAAGAAGUCAGAGGCUCCUGACUACUACGAGGUUAUCCGUUUCCCCAUUGACCUGAAGACCAUGACAGAACGGUUGCGCAGUCGCUACUAUGUGACCCGGAAGCUCUUCGUAGCUGACCUGCAGCGGGUCAUCGCCAACUGCCGGGAGUACAAUCCCCCAGACAGCGAAUACUGUCGCUGCGCCAGUGCCCUGGAGAAGUUCUUCUACUUCAAGCUCAAAGAGGGAGGGCUCAUCGACAAGUAGCCCCCAGCUGGGAUCCGCAACAUCCACCUCCAUCUCCUCAGAUCCGUUUGGGGGCUCCCGGCCCCCUCUCCCGGACUCAGCUGGAGAAACUCCAGCCAGGGACCCCAGAUCUUACAGACUUUCUGGCCAGCAGGCACUCACUCCCAAGCCAGCAGCUCUCUUUCCACCUUCCUUGCAUCCCACCUUGGGGAGACGUCUGGUCUGGGGCCAGCCCGUUGUAGAAUGUCUGGUGGCCAGGGCAUGAACUGUUGGUCCUUAUAGAGCCAUGCAGGCUGAGCAUCCUGAGCCUGGUCCCCAUGCCUGUUUCCCAGGGCCAGGACUAUUCAGUGAGUAGCCUUCACAUGGAAACAGCCCAGACUGGAGGAACCAUGAGGGGCCUUGGCUUAUCCUACACUGUUGUCUAUCUGUCCCUCCAGGAUUGGGGGCAGGAGGACCAUUCAUUCCUUGGCAUUAAUCCCUCGGAGGGAACAAUAAAGCUUUUUUUUUCCCCUG